RNAcentral lists this ribosomal RNA (373 nucleotides) under Listeria monocytogenes. RNAcentral describes it as "bacterial LSU rRNA". It matches the Rfam family "Bacterial large subunit ribosomal RNA", at positions 1850 to 2265 of the family's 2925-position model. Lineage: Bacteria; Bacillati; Bacillota; Bacilli; Caryophanales; Listeriaceae. The record is from RNAcentral.
GGCUGACGCCUGCCCGGUGCUGGAAGGUUAAGAGGAGUGCUUAGCUUCGGCGAAGGUACGAAUUGAAGCCCCAGUAAACGGCGGCCGUAACUAUAACGGUCCUAAGGUAGCGAAAUUCCUUGUCGGGGAAGUUCCGACCCGCACGAAAGGCGCAACGAUCUGGGCACUGUCUCAACGAGAGACUCGGUGAAAUUAUAGUACCUGUGAAGAUGCAGGUUACCCGCGACAGGACGGAAAGACCCCGUGGAGCUUUACUGCAACCUGAUAUGGAAUGUUUGUACCGCAGGUUACCCGCGACAGGACGAAAGGACCCCGGGGGGCUUUACGCGAACCUGUGAUGGAUUGUUUGUCCGGCUUGUGCGGGAUGGGUGGG